Molecule: long non-coding RNA, 455 nt
Organism: Gallus gallus (chicken)
Lineage: Eukaryota; Metazoa; Chordata; Aves; Galliformes; Phasianidae
Source: Ensembl
CACAGGGAGCCGACAGGAGGUGGGUUUGGAGAGCAGCUCUGACGCUCUCGUUCUCUCUCUGGGAUUCGGGACCCGGCGUCGCUGUGUGCCGUGCGGUACCCGGGGUGCGGGGAAGGGAGCUGAGCAGGGAAGUGUCAUUUGUACAAAUUGCCAGUUCGUGCCAGCUUGGGAGAGACCUCACAAGGGAAACCUGGAGCCUUCCCUGCUUUUCAUGUGAGCGGAUGCCCCUUUUAUUCCUGAGCAAGGAGUAAGUGGAGAAGAAAGGAGCCCCUGUCAGCCUCACGGAGACAAAUUGCUUCCUGCAGCAGAGGUGGCUCAGCGCUAACAACCACCCACUGCCAGAGCACCAAGACCCGCAGCCUGCAGCUGCUGAGACUCCAGCCCCAAUGCUCUGCAUGAUGUAAUCGACGGUGCUCAUCAAAAUAGCUUCUAAUAAAGAGUGAGGGCGGGAAGAC